Molecule: transfer RNA, 73 nt
Filed under: Bos taurus (domestic cattle)
Lineage: Eukaryota; Metazoa; Chordata; Mammalia; Artiodactyla; Bovidae
Also listed under: 3 other names
Rfam family: tRNA
About the family: Transfer RNA (tRNA) molecules are approximately 80 nucleotides in length. Their secondary structure includes four short double-helical elements and three loops (D, anti-codon, and T loops).
Source: Rfam by way of RNAcentral
UCCCUGGCAGUCCAGUGGUUAAGACUCUGUGCUUCCAAUGCAGGGUGUUCAGGUUCAAUCCCUGGUCAAGGAA